Molecule: non-coding RNA, 215 nt
Organism: Pelobates cultripes (western spadefoot toad)
Lineage: Eukaryota; Metazoa; Chordata; Amphibia; Anura; Pelobatidae
Source: the annotation of a GenBank genome assembly
AGGGGGAGUGCCCCUUGCAUGGGUACUUGCAUAUAAAACCAGCUGUGGCUCCCAUUAAACUCAGUUCCUGCUUACCCUCAACAAAGAGCCUUGUCUCAUGCUUGAGGGAACCGCUAUACCUGCUAUAAUCCCUGCUGCUGGGAUUGUUCUUUGGAUUGCUAUGAUCACCAGCUCUUGUAAGAGCUACACUGCUAUACUCUGUUGGAGGAGAGGCC